UUGGUUACAAUUCUAAAUAAGUGCUUUAUAAUAUCUGAGGUACACUUCUGUUCGGGUCCAACAGACUCCACUAAAUCAACCUCUUGCUCUAUUCAAUUAAUGUUCCCCUCUGCAGCCUGCCUUUGAGAGGACUACAAGGAGGGAGAUUUGGGUAUAAAAACACAGAAGAUCUGCCUGGCACCUCUUUUGGACUCUAACUCAGGUGCCCAAAGAUAGAUUGCUCACCCCCCGCUCCAAGUUUGAGACAGCAAGUGAAAAUAGCUUCAAUCCACCACUGCUCUCUCUUCACAGUUGAGACAAAAUGUCCUCCCAUCUCCUUUUGGCCCCAAAUCCCAGGAAUUUCCCUCUGCAAUAAUGGAGACUAUCAAGACCCCAGACUGGGAGGGACUCAGAGGAGCUGCCUGCGACCCUGCCCGAGACCUCAGUGAAGACGUUGGACAGACGGACCAGAGAGGACAUCGAGGAACUUCCAGUGGCCUUGACAGAGCCUUGACUUGGAAGCCGGACGGACAGGCUCCUGACAGUCUGGGCUUGAAAUAUGGUGUAGUUGGGCCCUGACUCUCAAAAUACAAGCCCUACAGUUUUCUGUACAGUCUGUCUUUGUCUCUCCCCUGUCUUUUUGUUCUGGAGGAGGGCCUGAGCGGUUCACUGUGCAGUUGCUUAUUCCAGACACUCCUUUAAAAUAAAGGAAAAUGAGGAUG
Molecule: long non-coding RNA, 701 nt
Organism: Hemicordylus capensis (graceful crag lizard)
Lineage: Eukaryota; Metazoa; Chordata; Lepidosauria; Squamata; Cordylidae
Exons: 3
Source: RefSeq, a predicted model, not a curated record